RNAcentral lists this transfer RNA (69 nucleotides) under Dipodomys ordii (Ord's kangaroo rat). It matches the Rfam family "tRNA". From Rfam's summary of the family: Transfer RNA (tRNA) molecules are approximately 80 nucleotides in length. Their secondary structure includes four short double-helical elements and three loops (D, anti-codon, and T loops). Lineage: Eukaryota; Metazoa; Chordata; Mammalia; Rodentia; Heteromyidae. The record is from Rfam by way of RNAcentral.
GUCUUGGUGGCUCAGUGGUAGAGUGCUUGCCUUGCAUGCAUGAGGCCCUGGGUUCAAUUCCUCAGAACC